AAAAAUAUCUAAAGAGAACAAAGCAUCUUUCUUUGGUGGUGGAUAUUGCAUCAUCCAAAUAUUCCGAGUUUCACACCAUGUGAGCAUGUGAAAGUCAUUGAUUUCCCUAUAGUAUACCAAUCUUAUAGCAUGUCUGCAAUUACCUUCCUCGUCUCCAACAUCAUAUGUGGCUGAGGAAGUUUGGUGGAGAUUCUCUCUGCUUAUAUUUAUGUAAUUAUGUCAUUUUCCACACCUGUGGUUGUGAGCUUCGACCAGGGAAAGAAUCUUUUGACCAGAAGUUGCUUCCAAAAGUUGAAGUCAACCAUAUAUGCAGCUGAAGCACGGCCUAGUGUGAUGCAGAACUGAUUCAAAAAUGGUUCCAUGAUCUAAUUCUGUUUAUGUAGCUGGUAUCUUAUCAUAUGAAGUUUCUUCUGAAGUUGUAACCCAAAAGAAGAUCAGAAACAGUCGGAGAACACCAAAGAAUCUCUAACAGAAGAUCGUUUAUACAUAGCAGAGUUAAAAGCAAAGUGGCCCCUAAUAAUGAACCUUUUAGAUGACAAAAGUGAUGGAUAAUUUGAAGCAGAGAUUUGAUUUGAGAACAUGGCUUGUUUUGGAUGAUGUUUGGAAUGAACAUUGGGUCAACUGGUUAAUUUCAUAGAAGAAACCUUUUCAAUCUGAGCUUUGAUGGUUAGUAUUUGCAAACAUCUGGAACUUUUUUUUUUUUUUUUGAAGGGAAUUUGAUAUUCUCACAAAGAUUUUCACAUUUAAAAUAUCAUGCAAGAUUGAACCAUUUAACAAUUAAUUACAUGGGUUAGCAUUAAUCUUUUUG
Molecule: long non-coding RNA, 808 nt
Organism: Glycine soja
Lineage: Eukaryota; Viridiplantae; Streptophyta; Magnoliopsida; Fabales; Fabaceae
Exons: 2
Source: RefSeq, a predicted model, not a curated record